GGCAAGGUGGCCGAGUGGUUAAGGCGCUGUGUUCAGGUCGCAGUUCGAAAGAGCAUGGGUUCGAAUCCCAUCCUUGUCA
This 79-nucleotide transfer RNA is filed under the name Hapsidospora chrysogenum ATCC 11550. RNAcentral describes it as "Acremonium chrysogenum ATCC 11550 tRNA". It matches the Rfam family "tRNA". Rfam says of the family: Transfer RNA (tRNA) molecules are approximately 80 nucleotides in length. Their secondary structure includes four short double-helical elements and three loops (D, anti-codon, and T loops). Lineage: Eukaryota; Fungi; Ascomycota; Sordariomycetes; Hypocreales; Bionectriaceae. The record is from Rfam by way of RNAcentral.